Molecule: ribosomal RNA, 495 nt
Filed under: uncultured bacterium
Lineage: Bacteria
Description: partial 16S ribosomal RNA
Rfam family: Bacterial small subunit ribosomal RNA
Source: RNAcentral
GAUGAACGCUGGCGGCGUGCCUAAUACAUGCAAGUCGAGCGAACAGACGAGGAGCUUGCUCCUCUGACGUUAGCGGCGGACGGGUGAGUAACACGUGGAUAACCUACCUAUAAGACUGGGAUAACUUCGGGAAACCGGAGCUAAUACCGGAUAAUAUAUUGAACCGCAUGGUUCAAUAGUGAAAGACGGUUUUGCUGUCACUUAUAGAUGGAUCCGCGCCGCAUUAGCUAGUUGGUAAGGUAACGGCUUACCAAGGCAACGAUGCGUAGCCGACCUGAGAGGGGGAUCGGCAACACUGGAACUGAGACACGGUCAAGACUCCGACGGGGGGCAGCAGUAGGGAUUCGUCCGCAAGGGGCGAAAGCCUGACAGAGCAACGCCGCGUGAGUAAUGAAGGUCUUCGGAUCUUAAAACUCUGUUAUUAGAGAAGAACAAAUGUGUAAGUAACUAUGCACGUCUGGACGGUACCUAAUCAGAAAGCCACGGCUAACUACG